UGAGGAACAUGACCUUCGGCGGGGGAUAGCCGGCCCAACGGCCGGGUAAUACCGCGUACGACCUUCCGGGGACAUCCCUGGAUGGUGAAAGCAGCAAUGCGCCGAUGGAGUGCCUCGCGGCCUAUCAGCUAGUUGGUGAGGUCAUGGCUCACCAAGGCGACGACGGGUANCUGGUCCGAGAGGAUGACCAGCCACAUUGGGACUGAGACACGGCCCAGACUCCGUAGG
This 228-nucleotide ribosomal RNA is filed under the name uncultured bacterium. Its description in RNAcentral is "partial 16S ribosomal RNA". It matches the Rfam family "Bacterial small subunit ribosomal RNA", at positions 118 to 344 of the family's 1533-position model. The record is from RNAcentral.